AUCCAUUUCGGUAGCACAUAUACUAAAAUUGUAACAAUAGAGAAAAGAUUAGCAUGAUCCCUUCACAAAGAUGAUA
Molecule: small nuclear RNA, 76 nt
Filed under: Meriones unguiculatus (Mongolian gerbil)
Lineage: Eukaryota; Metazoa; Chordata; Mammalia; Rodentia; Muridae
Source: RNAcentral